ACAGCAGCAGCCGCGGUAACACGUAGGGUGCAAGCGUUAAUCGGAAUUACUGGGCGUAAAGCGUGCGCAGGCGGUUAUAUAAGACAGAUGUGAAAUCCCCGGGCUCAACCUGGGAACUGCAUUUGUGACUGUAUAGCUAGAGUACGGCAGAGGGGGAUGGAAUUCCGCGUGUAGCAGUGAAAUGCGUAGAUAUGCGGAGGAACACCGAUGGCGAAGGCAAUCCCCUGGGCCUGUACUGACGCUCAUGCACGAAAGCGUGGGGAGCAAACAGGAUUAGAUACCCCUGUAGUCCCUGUCUCUUAUAC
This 305-nucleotide ribosomal RNA is filed under the name uncultured bacterium. RNAcentral describes it as "partial 16S ribosomal RNA". It matches the Rfam family "Bacterial small subunit ribosomal RNA", at positions 505 to 807 of the family's 1533-position model. The record is from RNAcentral.